CUCUUUUCGUUUAUUUGGAAAGUAUAACCUGCCCACUGACUUAAGUUGAAGGGCCGCGGUAAUUUGACCGUGCAAAGGUAGCAUAAUCAUUAGUCUCUUAAUUAGAGGCUAGAAUGAAUGGUUGGACGAGAUAUAUACUGUCUUAUAAUUUGAUUUAGAAUUUAAUUUUUAAGUAAGAAAGCUUAAAUUUGAUUAUGGGACGAGAAGACCCUAUAGAGUUUAAUAAUUUUAUUUAUAUUAAAUGUUUGAUUAUUAUUUUAUAGUUUAAAAUUUUUUUGUUGGGGUGAUGGAAAGAUAAUAUAAACUCUUUUUUUUUGAUAUAUACUUAUUUGUAUAAUUUUGAUCCAUUAAUAAU
This 355-nucleotide ribosomal RNA is filed under the name Episymploce torchaceus. Its description in RNAcentral is "Symploce torchaceus partial large subunit ribosomal RNA". The stretch from base 1 to 186 matches the Rfam family "Archaeal large subunit ribosomal RNA", at positions 1923 to 2143 of the family's 2987-position model. The record is from RNAcentral. Lineage: Eukaryota; Metazoa; Arthropoda; Insecta; Blattodea; Blattellidae.